RNAcentral lists this ribosomal RNA (445 nucleotides) under uncultured bacterium. RNAcentral's name for it is "bacterial SSU rRNA". It matches the Rfam family "Bacterial small subunit ribosomal RNA", at positions 330 to 792 of the family's 1533-position model. The record is from RNAcentral.
GCCAGACUCCUACGGGAGGCAGCAGUGGGGAAUAUUGCACAAUGGGGGAAACCCUGAUGCAGCGACGCCGCGUGAGCGAUGAAGUAUUUCGGUAUGUAAAGCUCUAUCAGCAGGGAAGAAAAUGACGGUACCUGACUAAGAAGCCCCGGCUAACUACGUGCCAGCAGCCGCGGUAAUACGUAGGGGGCAAGCGUUAUCCGGAUUUACUGGGUGUAAAGGGAGCGUAGACGGCAAUGCAAGCCAGAUGUGAAAGCCCGGGGCUCAACCCCGGGACUGCAUUUGGAACUGUGUAACUGGAGUGCAGGAGAGGUAAGCGGAAUUCCUAGUGUAGCGGUGAAAUGCGUAGAUAUUAGGAGGAACACCAGUGGCGAAGGCGGCUUACUGGACUGUAACUGACGUUGAGGCUCGAAAGCGUGGGGAGCAAACAGGAUUAGAUACCCUCGUA